GACGAACGCUGGCGGCGUGCCUAAUACAUGCAAGUAGAACGCACAGGAUGCACCGUAGUUUACUACACCGUAUUCUGUGAGUUGCGAACGGGUGAGUAACGCGUAGGUAACCUGCCUGGUAGCGGGGGAUAACUAUUGGAAACGAUAGCUAAUACCGCAUAAGAACAUUUACUGCAUGGUAGAUGUUUAAAAGGUGCAAGAGCAUCACUACCAGAUGGACCUGCGUUGUAUUAGCUAGUUGGUGAGGUAACGGCUCACCAAGGCAACGAUACAUAGCCGACCUGAGAGGGUGAUCGGCCACACUGGGACUGAGACACGGCCCAGACUCCUACGGGAGGCAGCAGUAGGGAAUCUUCGGCAAUGGGGGGAACCCUGACCGAGCAACGCCGCGUGAGUGAAGAAGGUUUUCGGAUCGUAAAGCUCUGUUGUUAAGGAAGAACGUGUGUGAGAGUGGAAAGUUCACACAAUGACG
Molecule: ribosomal RNA, 472 nt
Filed under: Streptococcus constellatus
Lineage: Bacteria; Bacillati; Bacillota; Bacilli; Lactobacillales; Streptococcaceae
Description: bacterial SSU rRNA
Rfam family: Bacterial small subunit ribosomal RNA
Source: RNAcentral